Molecule: ribosomal RNA, 1155 nt
Filed under: Flavobacteriaceae bacterium
Lineage: Bacteria; Pseudomonadati; Bacteroidota; Flavobacteriia; Flavobacteriales; Flavobacteriaceae
Description: bacterial SSU rRNA
Rfam family: Bacterial small subunit ribosomal RNA
Source: RNAcentral
UACAAUGAAGAGUUUGAUCCUGGCUCAGGAUGAACGCUAGCGGCAGGCCUAAUACAUGCAAGUCGAACGGUAACAUUGGUGCUUGCACCAGAUGACGAGUGGCGCACGGGUGCGUAACGCGUAUGCUACCUACCUUUUACUAGAGUAUAGCCCAGAGAAAUUUGGAUUAAUCCUCUAUAACAUCUUUAAGUUUCAUAAUUUUUAGAUUAAAGUUUUUAACGGUAAAAGAUGGGCAUGCGUCCUAUUAGUUUGUAGGUGAGGUAACGGCUCACCUAGACUACGAUAGGUAGGGGCCCUGAGAGGGGGAUCCCCCACACUGGUACUGAGACACGGACCAGACUCCUACGGGAGGCAGCAGUAAGGAAUAUUGGACAAUGGACGAAAGUCUGAUCCAGCCAUGCCGCGUGCAGGAUGAAAGCCCUAUGGGUUGUAAACUGCUUUUAUACAGGAAGAAACACUCCGACGUGUCGGAGCUUGACGGUACUGUAAGAAUAAGGAUCGGCUAACUCCGUGCCAGCAGCCGCGGUAAUACGGAGGAUCCAAGCGUUAUCCGGAAUCAUUGGGUUUAAAGGGUCCGCAGGGGGUCUUUUAAGUCAGAGGUGAAAGCCUACAGCUCAACUGUAGAACGGCCUUUGAUACUGAAAGACUUGAGUUAUUGUGAAGUGAUUAGAAUGUGUGGUGUAGCGGUGAAAUGCAUAGAUAUCACACAGAAUACCGAUUGCGAAGGCAGAUCACUAAUAAUAUACUGAUGCUCAUGGACGAAAGCGUGGGGAGCGAACAGGAUUAGAUACCCUGGUAGUCCACGCCGUAAACGAUGGAUACUAGCUGUUCGUCUAACAUUGGUUAGAUGAGUGGCUAAGCGAAAGUGAUAAGUAUCCCACCUGGGGAGUACGGUCGCAAGACUGAAACUCAAAGGAAUUGACGGGGGCCCGCACAAGCGGUGGAGCAUGUGGUUUAAUUCGAUGAUACGCGAGGAACCUUACCAGGACUUAAAUGUAAGUUGCAUGAUUCAGAAAUGGAUCUUUCUUCGGACUACUUACAAGGUGCUGCAUGGUUGUCGUCAGCUCGUGCCGUGAGGUGUCAGGUUAAGUCCUAUAACGAGCGCAACCCCUAUCGUUAGUUGCCAUCAAGUAAAGUUGGGAACUCUAGCGAAAC